RNAcentral lists this ribosomal RNA (739 nucleotides) under Rothia mucilaginosa. RNAcentral describes it as "bacterial SSU rRNA". It matches the Rfam family "Bacterial small subunit ribosomal RNA", at positions 28 to 776 of the family's 1533-position model. Lineage: Bacteria; Bacillati; Actinomycetota; Actinomycetes; Micrococcales; Micrococcaceae. The record is from RNAcentral.
GACGAACGCUGGCGGCGUGCUUAACACAUGCAAGUCGAACGAUGAAGCCUAGCUUGCUAGGUGGAUUAGUGGCGAACGGGUGAGUAAUACGUGAGUAACCUACCUUUAACUCUGGGAUAAGCCUGGGAAACUGGGUCUAAUACCGGAUACGACCAAUCUCCGCAUGGGGUGUUGGUGGAAAGCGUUAUGUAGUGGUUAUAGAUGGGCUCACGGCCUAUCAGCUUGUUGGUGAGGUAACGGCUCACCAAGGCGACGACGGGUAGCCGGCCUGAGAGGGUGACCGGCCACACUGGGACUGAGACACGGCCCAGACUCCUACGGGAGGCAGCAGUGGGGAAUAUUGCACAAUGGGCGCAAGCCUGAUGCAGCGACGCCGCGUGAGGGAUGACGGCCUUCGGGUUGUAAACCUCUGUUAGCAGGGAAGAAGAGAGAUUGACGGUACCUGCAGAGAAAGCGCCGGCUAACUACGUGCCAGCAGCCGCGGUAAUACGUAGGUCCCGAGCGUUAUCCGGAUUUAUUGGGCGUAAAGCGAGCGCAGGCGGUUAGAUAAGUCUGAAGUUAAAGGCUGUGGCUUAACCAUAGUACGCUUUGGAAACUGUUUAACUUGAGUGCAGAAGGGGAGAGUGGAAUUCCAUGUGUAGCGGUGAAAUGCGUAGAUAUAUGGAGGAACACCGGUGGCGAAAGCGGCUCUCUGGUCUGUAACUGACGCUGAGGCUCGAAAGCGUGGGGAGCAAACAGG